AACGAACGCUGGCGGCAUGCCUAACACAUGCAAGUCGAACGAGACCUUCGGGUCUAGUGGCGCACGGGUGCGUAACGCGUGGGAACCUGCCCUUAGGUUCGGAAUAACUCCCCGAAAGGGGUGCUAAUACCGGAUAAUGUCUUCGGACCAAAGAUUUAUCGCCUUUGGAUGGGCCCGCGUUGGAUUAGCUAGUUGGUAGGGUAAAAGCCUACCAAGGCGACGAUCCAUAGCUGGUCUGAGGGGAUGAUCAGCCACACUGGGACUGAGACACGGCCCAGACUCCUACGGGAUGCAGCAGUGGGGAAUAUUGGACAAUGGGCGAAAGCCUGAUCCAGCAAUGCCGCGUGAGUGAUGAAGGCCUUAGGGUUGUAAAGCUCUUUUACCCGGGAUGAUAAUGACAGUACCGGGAGAAUAAGCUCCGGCUAACUCCGUG
This 433-nucleotide ribosomal RNA is filed under the name uncultured bacterium. RNAcentral describes it as "partial 16S ribosomal RNA". It matches the Rfam family "Bacterial small subunit ribosomal RNA", at positions 29 to 507 of the family's 1533-position model. The record is from RNAcentral.